GCUAUGCUGCUGCCAAGGGACCUCACAAGGAGGUAGUACAAGCCACUGCUAGUGGCUAUACAAAGGAGUGAAGCCUUCUAAGUACAGUACCUGGCACAAUGAAUUGUCAAGCAAAUGGCAAAUCUUCUCUGCAGAGGGGAACUGAGACCCAGUACCCACAAUCCACUCUGGAGUCUCCUAAUAAUCCUGAAGAGGGAAGCCCAGAGGAAAUCAUCUGGUCUAACCAUAAAAUCAUCAAUACUGAGAAAUUAAAAGGGGAACAUGUCAGGCCUCACUCUUUCUGUACUGGCUUUCAAGAGUAUUGUCCUUGGUCACCAGGUAUGCCCCUGGGCUCCUGCCGCAGCUGAUCGGGUGCUAGGUGCUGAGGAUACACGUCUGGGAGAAAGCAAUUGGAAGAAAUGCAAAGCUCUUCAAAGGAGGCCUAUAAAGUCAUCUUUGUUUUGUUCAUUCUUCUCAUGUUUCUGCAUUCUGGGCAUUCUCCUAAAUUGGGGAGAAACCAAAAUGCCCAGAAGUCAAAUUCUGCAACUGUCAUCAUGCAAAAUGUCAAAUGAGAGAACCAAAGUAUGCUGGAUUCUAUAUUGUUAGGAAGGGAUGGUUAAUUUGAUUGACUCUUGGGAGCUAUUUUUCUAGCAUUAAGUAAUUCUAGGGAACCCUUCUGUGAUCAUCUCUGAGUAAAUAAAGAAGUGAAAUUGCAAUUCAAA
Molecule: long non-coding RNA, 701 nt
Organism: Pan troglodytes (chimpanzee)
Lineage: Eukaryota; Metazoa; Chordata; Mammalia; Primates; Hominidae
Exons: 4
Source: RefSeq, a predicted model, not a curated record